This 433-nucleotide ribosomal RNA is filed under the name uncultured bacterium. Its description in RNAcentral is "partial 16S ribosomal RNA". It matches the Rfam family "Bacterial small subunit ribosomal RNA", at positions 29 to 507 of the family's 1533-position model. The record is from RNAcentral.
AACGAACGCUGGCGGCAUGCCUAACACAUGCAAGUCGAACGAGACCUUCGGGUCUAGUGGCGCACGGGUGCGUAACGCGUGGGAACCUGCCCUUAGGUUCGGAAUAACUCCCCGAAAGGGGUGCUAAUACCGGAUAAUGUCUUCGGACCAAAGAUUUAUCGCCUUUGGAUGGGCCCGCGUUGGAUUAGCUAGUUGGUAGAGUAAAAGCCUACCAAGGCGACGAUCCAUAGCUGGUCUGAGAGGAUGAUCAGCCACACUGGGACUGAGACACGGCCCAGACUCCUACGGGAGGCAGCAGUGGGGAAUAUUGGACAAUGGGCGAAAGCCUGAUCCAGCAAUGCCGCGUGAGUGAUGAAGGCCUUAGGGUUGUAAAGCUCUUUUAACCGGGAUGAUAAUGACAGUACCGGGAGAAUAAGCUCCGGCUAACUCCGUG